CAAACAGAUCGUGAUGAGCUAACUGCGCAAAUAAAAUCGGAAACCUCCCCCUAAAUCAGCACGGUUCCCUUCCUCGUCUCGUACCGGAUUCAUCCGCACGCCCGGCGGCCAGUGGCGGAGGCAUCUCCAUGACCUGAGCAAGGCAAAUCCGGCUGAUAUAGAUUCUCCAAAUCCGACUGGUACGUGGUGGCAACAAUCCUGCGAGUUCAUCUACAGAUAUGUCACUGACAAGAACUAACGUUGUUGAAUCCAACGACGAAUAUAUGGCGGAAGAAUCAAUCGAACAUCACAAUUCUGCUGAACAAGAUGUCCAAGAAAUAGCUACUAAUGAUGAAGAAGGCUUCACAGAUUGUGAUGAUGCUAAUGCAGAUGAAAAUGAAGAUGGUAAGUUUAGUACCUUCAUUUAUUUUUGAACAAACCAUUCUGUAUUUCUAUGAUAGGAAAUUUUGGAUCCAAUGGCUACAAUUGGGCUUGAACCUUCGGUUGAUGGACAUAACUCAAACAUAAAAAGAAAGCUUGCUCCUUCGGCUGAGGGACUACGACUAGUUAAAAACGACCCAAUAAUUUAUAGAACAAGCCAAGUGGUUCAAAUAGUGCAGAUUUGCAAGCAUCAAACAACCAUUCUGUUCCAAAUAAGGAGGUUUAUUUACUUAAAUACUCUUUGGAACAUGUCAUUGCCGAGGAUUAAGUUGUUACGCUUACACCUUUUGCAAUUACAUAUAUGGUACCCAGAACUUGACGUGUAUCCUUUUAUCCCAGAACAAAGAAACUAUGAUUCAUAAUGGUGCCAGUGCAUGACAACUAGAAAAAUGUUCUGCUGCACACAAGGUAUCUUCAUAGUCUCACAUACAAAAUUAUGAUGAAACUAUAGUGCUCCCAUGUUUAUGUGUUUACUUUCUGCUAUGAGAAUGUUGUCCAGAACCAAGAAAAUUUUGAUUAGAAUUUCAGUACACAGCAAGGGGAAAUAAAUUUCUCUGAACACAAGGUAUAUUUCCAUUACCAUAUACAACAUGUUCAAAAUAUAUUGUUUUGAUGUUUAUGUAUCUGGUGGUCAUCUUGCUAUCAGAAUUCUGUUUAAAACAAAGAAACUUUGCUUGAGAAUGUGAGUGCACGUCAGGCAGAAAAAACUUCUGCUGUAAAGAAGCUGGUAUCUUUCCAUAAUCACAUACAAACUGUUCAAACUAUGGUGCUGGCUUUUUUAUUUGUUUAUUACUUCUUUGCCAUCAGACUGCUGUCCAGACCAAAAGAACAACGAAAGGUACUAAUGUAGCAAGUAAGAGUGCUCAAAGUAGUAGUGGUUCUCUGAGUUGGUUGGGUGCGACUAAACUACAUGCAGGAACUAUAUUAUUCUUGAAGAGACUGAAAAACCGUAACAGGGACAUAGCUCUUGCUGCAAGUGUAUGGUGUGAUCCUAAAGUUAAACUUGAUGGUGCACAAAAUAGAAACAAAUUUUGGACAGGGCAUUUCAAUAUGGCACUUGUGAAAACUGAAAAUAUGAAGAUAAAUGGAUGAGUAUAUGGGUGUGUGGCGAGUAUACUUCCAUGAUGAUGCCGAUGUUUUGAUUCAUGGUGAUGAUGAUGGAUGCUUUCAGUUUUAGUUAAGUUGUAGGGAUGACAUUCCUGUUGGAUGUAGUUACUCGUUUAUGUUUUAGUUAAGUUGUAGGGAUGUUGAUGGAUGCUUUCAGUUUAAGCUUCGUUGUCAAGAAAAUAGUUAGAUCAUGCAUCACAUUUGGAUGAUGUUCCUCCUCCAAUAUCCACUAUUGUAAUCCAACAACUUUAUCUAUUUUAUGAUUUCUU
This is a long non-coding RNA of Triticum aestivum (bread wheat), 1796 nucleotides long. RefSeq lists it as uncharacterized. The record is from RefSeq and is a predicted model, not a curated record. The transcript has 6 exons. NCBI's taxonomy places the organism in Eukaryota, Viridiplantae, Streptophyta, Magnoliopsida, Poales, Poaceae.